RNAcentral lists this ribosomal RNA (677 nucleotides) under Chaetothyriales sp. A859. RNAcentral's name for it is "SSU rRNA". It matches the Rfam family "Eukaryotic small subunit ribosomal RNA", at positions 158 to 845 of the family's 1831-position model. Lineage: Eukaryota; Fungi; Ascomycota; Eurotiomycetes; Chaetothyriales. The record is from RNAcentral.
CUAGAGCUAAUACAUGCUAAAAACCUCGACUUCGGGAGGGGUGUAUUUAUUAGAUUAAAAACCAAUGCCCUUCGGGGCUCUUUGGUGAUUCAUAAUAACUAAACGAAUCGCAUGGCCUUGCGCCGGCGAUGGUUCAUUCAAAUUUCUGCCCUAUCAACUUUCGAUUGUAGAGUAGUGGUCUACAAUGGUUUCAACGGGUAACGGGGAAUUAGGGUUCUAUUCCGGAGAGGGAGCCUGAGAAACGGCUACCACAUCCAAGGAAGGCAGCAGGCGCGCAAAUUACCCAAUCCCGACACGGGGAGGUAGUGACAAUAAAUACUGAUACAGGGUUCUUUUGGAUCUUGUAAUUGGAAUGAGUACAAUGUAAAUACCUUAACGAGGAACAAUUGGAGGGCAAGUCUGGUGCCAGCAGCCGCGGUAAUUCCAGCUCCAAUAGCGUAUAUUAAAGUUGUUGCAGUUAAAAAGCUCGUAGUUGAACCUUGGAUCUGGCUGAUCUGUCCUCCUAAUCGAGCGCACGGAUUCGGCUGGAUCUUUCCUUCUGGGGAACCCUAUGCCCUUUACUGGGCGUAGUGGGGAACCAGGACUUUUACUUUGAAAAAAUUAGAGUGUUCAAAGCAGGCCUUUGCUCGAAUACAUUAGCAUGGAAUAAUAGAAUAGGACGUUGGUUCUAUUUUGUU